ACGGGAGGCAGCAGUGGGGAAUAUUGCACAAUGGGCGAAAGCCUGAUGCAGCGACGCCGCGUGAGUGAAGAAGUAUUUCGGUAUGUAAAGCUCUAUCAGCAGGGAAGAAAAAUGACGGUACCUGACUAAGAAGCGCCGGCUAAAUACGUGCCAGCAGCCGCGGUAAUACGUAUGGUGCAAGCGUUAUCCGGAUUUACUGGGUGUAAAGGGAGCGCAGGCGGUACGGCAAGUCUGAUGUGAAAGCCCGGGGCUCAACCCCGGUACUGCAUUGGAAACUGUCGAACUAGGGUGUCGGAGGGGUAAGCGGAAUUCCUAGUGUAGCGGUGAAAUGCGUAGAUAUUAGGAGGAACACCAGUGGCGAAGGCGGCUUACUGGACGAUAACUGACGCUGAGGCUCGAAAGCGUGGGGAGCAAACAGGAUUAGAUACCCUGGUA
Molecule: ribosomal RNA, 435 nt
Filed under: uncultured Roseburia sp.
Lineage: Bacteria; Bacillati; Bacillota; Clostridia; Lachnospirales; Lachnospiraceae
Description: partial 16S ribosomal RNA
Rfam family: Bacterial small subunit ribosomal RNA
Source: RNAcentral